UGCAUCUGCCGGGUAUCGAACCCGGCCCGCAGGCGAGCAUUCUACCACUGAACCACC
RNAcentral lists this transfer RNA (57 nucleotides) under Cordylochernes scorpioides. RNAcentral describes it as "tRNA-OTHER". The record is from RNAcentral. Lineage: Eukaryota; Metazoa; Arthropoda; Arachnida; Pseudoscorpiones; Chernetidae.